This 911-nucleotide ribosomal RNA is filed under the name uncultured archaeon. RNAcentral's name for it is "bacterial SSU rRNA". It matches the Rfam family "Archaeal small subunit ribosomal RNA", at positions 4 to 923 of the family's 1478-position model. The record is from RNAcentral.
CCGGUUGAUCCCGCCGGACCUGACUGCUAUCGGAUUGAUACUAAGCCAUGCGAGUCAUUGUAGCAAUACAAGGCAGACGGCUCAGUAACGCGUAGUCAACCUACCCUAUGGACGGGAAUAACCUCGGGAAACUGAGUAUAAUGCCCGAUAGAACAUUAUGCCUGGAAUGGUUUAUGUUCCAAAUGAUUUAUCGCCAUAGGAUGGGACUGCGGCCUAUCAGUUUGUUGGUGAGGUAAUGGCCCACCAAGACUAUUACAGGUACGGGCUCUGAGAGGAGUGGCCCGGAGAUGGGUACUGAGACACGGACCCAGGCCCUAUGGGGCGCAGCAGGCGAGAAAACUUUGCAAUGCGCGAAAGCACGACAAGGUUAAUCCGAGUGGUUUCUGCUAAAGGAACCUUUUGUCAGUCCUAGAAACACUGAUGAAUAAGGGGUGGGCAAGUUCUGGUGUCAGCCGCCGCGGUAAAACCAGCACCUCAAGUGGUCAGGAUGAUUAUUGGGCCUAAAGCAUCCGUAGCCGGCUCUGUAAGUUUUCGGUUAAAUCUAUAUGCUCAACAUAUGGGCUGCCGGGAAUACUGCAAAGCUAGGAAGUGGGAGAGGUAGACGGUACUCCGUAGGAAGGGGUAAAAUCCUUUGAUCUAUGGAUGACCACCUGUGGCGAAGGCGGUCUACCAGAACACGUUCGACGGUGAGGGAUGAAAGCUGGGGGAGCAAACCGGAUUAGAUACCCGGGUAGUCCCAGCUGUAAACUAUGCAAACUCAGUGAUGCAUUGGCUUGUGGCCAGUGCAGUGCCGCAGGAAGCCGUUAAGUUUGCCGCCUGGGAAGUACGUACGCAAGUAUGAAACUUAAAGGAAUUGGCGGGGGAGCACCACAAGGGUGAAGCCUGCGGUUCAAUUGGAUUCAACGCCGGAA